UCCUUAUUUCCUCUUAAAAAA
RNAcentral lists this microRNA (21 nucleotides) under Schistosoma mansoni. Its description in RNAcentral is "sma-miR-8419-3p". The record is from miRBase by way of RNAcentral. Lineage: Eukaryota; Metazoa; Platyhelminthes; Trematoda; Strigeidida; Schistosomatidae.